AUUGAACGCUGGCGGAAUGCUUUACACAUGCAAGUCGAGCGGCAGCGCGGGGGCAACCCUGGCGGCGAGCGGCAAACGGGUGAGUAACAUAUCGGAACGUACCCCGUCGUGGGGAUAACACAGCGAAAGCUGUGCUAAUACCGCAUACGACCUGAGGGUGAAAGCGGGGGAUCGCAAGACCUCGCGCGAUGGGAGCGGCCGAUAUCGGAUUAGCUUGUUGGUGAGGUAAAGGCUCACCAAGGCGACGAUCCGUAGCUGGUCUGAGAGGACGACCAGCCACACUGGAACUGAGACACGGUCCAGACUCCUACGGGAGGCAGCAGUGGGGAAUUUUGGGACAAUGGGGGCAACCCUGAUCCAGCCAUUCCGCGUGAGUGAAGAAGGCCUU
This 388-nucleotide ribosomal RNA is filed under the name uncultured bacterium. Its description in RNAcentral is "bacterial SSU rRNA". It matches the Rfam family "Bacterial small subunit ribosomal RNA", at positions 29 to 418 of the family's 1533-position model. The record is from RNAcentral.